AAGUAAAAGUCGUAACAAGGUUUCCGUAGGUGAACCUGCGGAAGGAUCAUUAUCGUACAAAAUGUGAGAGGGGCAUGCGAGGGCUGUCGCUGACUCAAAGUCGUGCACGCCCGAGUGUGUCGCCUCACAUAAUAAUCCAUCUCACCCUUUGUGCAUCACCGCGUGGGCACCCCUUUGGGAUCAUCUCGGAGGGGGCUCGCGUUUUCACACAAAACCCCCCUUUUAAAAGUGUAGAAUGACCUCAUUUAUGCGUUAACCCGCAAUCAAUACAACUUUCAACAACGGAUCUCUUGGCUCUCGCAUCGAUGAAGAACGCAGCGAAAUGCGAUACGUAAUGUGAAUUGCAGAAUUCAGUGAAUCAUCGAAUCUUUGAACGCACCUUGCGCCCCCUGGUAUUCCGAGGGGCACACCCGUUUGAGUGUCGUGAAAACCUCAACCUCCUUGGUUUCUUCUGGAGACCAAAGCAGGCUUGGACUUUGGAGGCCUUUGCUGGCACCUCUCGCCAGCUCCUCUUAAAUGAAUUAGCAGGGUCCUCUUUGCUGAUCCUCGACGUGUGAUAAGAUGUUUCCAUGUCUUGGUUUCUGGCUCUGUCACCUUUGGGACCCGCUUCUAACCGUCUUCAACCUUGCGUUGAGACAACGUUCGAGCAUGUCUCCCUUCUCGGGAAGCUCCCUCGACCCCACGAACCCUUGACCUCAAAUCGGGUGAGACUACCCGCUGAACUUAAGCAUAUCAAUAAGCGGAGGAAAAGAAACUAACAAGGAUUCCCCUAGUAACUGCGAGUGAAGCGGGAAAAGCUCAAA
Molecule: ribosomal RNA, 803 nt
Filed under: Lactarius rufus
Lineage: Eukaryota; Fungi; Basidiomycota; Agaricomycetes; Russulales; Russulaceae
Description: eukaryotic LSU rRNA
Rfam family: 5.8S ribosomal RNA (bases 271-424)
Source: RNAcentral